This 250-nucleotide ribosomal RNA is filed under the name uncultured bacterium. Its description in RNAcentral is "partial 16S ribosomal RNA". It matches the Rfam family "Bacterial small subunit ribosomal RNA", at positions 524 to 773 of the family's 1533-position model. The record is from RNAcentral.
UACGUAGGCAGCAAACGUUGUUCGGAAUUACUGGGCGUAAAGAGUGUGUAGGCGGUUUCGCAAGUUUGGUGUGAAAUCUCCCGGCUUAACUGGGAGGGUGCGCCGAAAACUGCGAGGCUAGAGUGCUGGAGAGGAAAGCGGAAUUCCUGGUGUAGCGGUGAAAUGCGUAGAUAUCAGGAGGAACACCGGUGGUGUAGACGGCUUUCUGGACAGCUACUGACGCUGAGACACGAAAGCGUGGGGAGCAAAC